Molecule: ribosomal RNA, 492 nt
Filed under: uncultured bacterium
Lineage: Bacteria
Description: partial 16S ribosomal RNA
Rfam family: Bacterial small subunit ribosomal RNA
Source: RNAcentral
AGUGAACGCUGGCGGUAGGCCUAACACAUGCAAGUCGAACGGCAGCACAGUAAGAGCUUGCUCUUACGGGUGGCGAGUGGCGGACGGGUGAGGAAUACAUCGGAAUCUACUUUUUCGUGGGGGAUAACGUAGGGAAACUUACGCUAAUACCGCAUACGACCUACGGGUGAAAGCAGGGGAUCCUCGGACCUUGCGCGAUUGAAUGAGCCGAUGUCGGAUUAGCUAGUUGGCGGGGUAAAGGCCCACCAAGGCGACGAUCCGUAGCUGGUCUGAGAGGAUGAUCAGCCACACUGGAACUGAGACACGGUCCAGACUCCUACGGGAGGCAGCAGUGGGGAAUAUUGGACAAUGGGCGCAAGCCUGAUCCAGCCAUACCGCGUGGGUGAAGAAGGCCUUCGGGUUGUAAAGCCCUUUUGCUGGGAAAGAAAAGCAGCAGGUUAAUACCCCGCUGUUCUGACGGUACCCAAAGAAUAAGCACCGGCUAACUUCGUG